GAUGAACGCUGGCGGCGUGCUUAACACAUGCAAGUCGAACGAUGAAGCAGGAGCUUGCUCUUGUGGAUCAGUGGCGAACGGGUGAGUAACACGUGAGCAACCUGCCCCUGACUCUGGGAUAAGCGCUGGAAACGGCGUCUAAUACUGGAUAUGUGAUGUGACCGCAUGGUCUGCAUCUGGAAAGAAUUUCGGUUGGGGAUGGGCUCGGCGGCCUAUCAGCUUGUUGGUGAGGUAAUGGCUCACCAAGGCGUCGACGGGUAGCCGGCCUGAGAGGUUGACCGGCCACGCUGGGACUGAGACACGGCCCAGACUCCUACGGGAGGCAGCAGUGGGGAAUAUUGCACAAUGGGCGGAAGCCUGAUGCAGCAACGCCGCGUGAGGGAUGACGGCCUUCGGGUUGUAAACCUCUUUUAGCAGGGAAGAAGCGAAAGUGACGGUACCUGCAGGAAAAGCACCGGCUAACUACGUGCCAGCCGCCGCGGUAA
This 485-nucleotide ribosomal RNA is filed under the name uncultured bacterium. RNAcentral describes it as "partial 16S ribosomal RNA". It matches the Rfam family "Bacterial small subunit ribosomal RNA", at positions 28 to 523 of the family's 1533-position model. The record is from RNAcentral.